RNAcentral lists this ribosomal RNA (444 nucleotides) under uncultured bacterium. RNAcentral's name for it is "partial 16S ribosomal RNA". It matches the Rfam family "Bacterial small subunit ribosomal RNA", at positions 354 to 796 of the family's 1533-position model. The record is from RNAcentral.
GUAGGGAAUAUUGGGCAAUGGUCGGAAGACUGACCCAGCCAUGCCGCGUGCAGGAAGACGGCCCUCUGGGUUGUAAACUGCUUUUAUCUGGGAAGAAAAAGGCCAUGCGUGGCAAAUUGCCGGUACCAGAUGAAUAAGCACCGGCUAACUCCGUGCCAGCAGCCGCGGUAAUACGGAGGGUGCGAGCGUUGUCCGGAUUUAUUGGGUUUAAAGGGUGCGUAGGCGGCUGAUUAAGUCAGCGGUGAAAGACUUCGGCUUAACCGGAGAAGUGCCGUUGAUACUGGUUGGCUUGAGUGUCGGAGGGGUACAUGGAAUUGAUGGUGUAGCGGUGAAAUGCAUAGAUACCAUCAGGAACACCGAUAGCGAAGGCAUUGUACUGGCCGACAACUGACGCUGAUGCACGAAAGUGUGGGGAUCGAACAGGAUUAGAAACCCCUGUAGUCC